This 492-nucleotide ribosomal RNA is filed under the name uncultured bacterium. Its description in RNAcentral is "partial 16S ribosomal RNA". It matches the Rfam family "Bacterial small subunit ribosomal RNA", at positions 29 to 507 of the family's 1533-position model. The record is from RNAcentral.
AGUGAACGCUGGCGGUAGGCCUAACACAUGCAAGUCGAACGGCAGCACAGUAAGAGCUUGCUCUUACGGGUGGCGAGUGGCGGACGGGUGAGGAAUACAUCGGAAUCUACUUUUUCGUGGGGGACAACGUAGGGAAACUUACGCUAAUACCGCAUACGACCUACGGGUGAAAGCAGGGGAUCUUCGGACCUUGCGCGAUUGAAUGAGCCGAUGUCGGAUUAGCUAGUUGGCGGGGUAAAGGCCCACCAAGGCGACGAUCCGUAGCUGGUCUGAGAGGAUGAUCAGCCACACUGGAACUGAGACACGGUCCAGACUCCUACGGGAGGCAGCAGUGGGGAAUAUUGGACAAUGGGCGCAAGCCUGAUCCAGCCAUACCGCGUGGGUGAAGAAGGCCUUCGGGUUGUAAAGCCCUUUUGUUGGGAAAGAAAAGCAGCAGGUUAAUACCCCGCUGUCCUGACGGUACCCAAAGAAUAAGCACCGGCUAACUUCGUG